GCACCUUGUUUCAAACCAAUCAGUGCCUGAUCAGAAUGGGAUUAGAUGUGAAUCCUUAUAUAAAGCUUCAGCAGCAUUCCUCAUUUUACUGGAGUUGUAGUGGCAGGCUCACAGGCGUACUACAGUUGCUCGCCACCUCAACAAUGGCUUUAAUAAUGAGGGUACUUCAAUUGUCUCUACUCCUUGAUGUGGGCUGUCAAGUACAUGCUUACAGGAUCGGAUAUGCUGAGCCGGAGAUGCCUACGUAUGGGCAGCAGCAGCCUGCUAGCUACAAGCCACAGCAACCUCCUAGCUACAAGCCGCAGCCCCAGCAGCAGCAGCAUCCUAGCGACAAGCCGCAGCCCCAGCAGCAGCAACAUCCUAGCGACAAGCCCCAGCAGCAGCAAC
This is a long non-coding RNA of Gadus morhua (Atlantic cod), 387 nucleotides long. RefSeq lists it as uncharacterized. NCBI's taxonomy places the organism in Eukaryota, Metazoa, Chordata, Actinopteri, Gadiformes, Gadidae. The transcript has 3 exons. The record is from RefSeq and is a predicted model, not a curated record.